GUGUAUUCUACAGUGCACGUGUCUCCAGUGUGGCUCGGAGGCUGGAGACGCGGCCCUGUUGGAGUAA
This 67-nucleotide microRNA precursor is filed under the name Pan troglodytes (chimpanzee). RNAcentral's name for it is "microRNA ptr-mir-139 precursor". Its record names the gene ptr-mir-139. It matches the Rfam family "mir-139 microRNA precursor family". Lineage: Eukaryota; Metazoa; Chordata; Mammalia; Primates; Hominidae. The record is from miRBase by way of RNAcentral.